GAAAAGUGUGAAAAUUCAAGGAAACAAGUGAAAAAGGUGGUGAAUCCUCCGCUAAGGGCAAAGAAAUUAUACUCGAGGAUCGAUAGUCAGAGUACUCUAGAAAUUUGACUUUCGAAAUAGCUCAAAAUAGGCUGUAGAUAGCUGAUUUCAUUGAGGCCACUAUCGGAUUUGCAUCCUUCAAACUGUAGGUUCACAGUCCUCCUUACUUUUGGUUA
Theobroma cacao (cacao) is the source of this 215-nucleotide non-coding RNA. The record is from RefSeq and is a predicted model, not a curated record. Lineage: Eukaryota; Viridiplantae; Streptophyta; Magnoliopsida; Malvales; Malvaceae.